This 253-nucleotide ribosomal RNA is filed under the name uncultured bacterium. RNAcentral describes it as "partial 16S ribosomal RNA". It matches the Rfam family "Bacterial small subunit ribosomal RNA", at positions 524 to 776 of the family's 1533-position model. The record is from RNAcentral.
UACGUAGGUGGCGAGCGUUGUCCGGAUUUAUUGGGUUUAAAGGGUGCGUAGGCGGCUUUGUAAGUCAGUGGUGAAAUACUCCAGCUUAACUGGAGGGGUGCCAUUGAUACUGCGGAGCUUGAGUACAGAUGAGGUAGGCGGAAUUGACGGUGUAGCGGUGAAAUGCAUAGAUAUCGUCAAGAACACCGAUAGCGAAGGCAGCUUACUGGGCUGUAGCUGACGCUGAUGCACGAAAGUGUGGGGAUCAAACAGG